Fukomys damarensis (Damara mole-rat) is the source of this 417-nucleotide long non-coding RNA. RefSeq lists it as uncharacterized. Lineage: Eukaryota; Metazoa; Chordata; Mammalia; Rodentia; Bathyergidae. The transcript is spliced from 3 exons. The record is from RefSeq and is a predicted model, not a curated record.
UGUAGAGGAGACUCCAGAGAACUCUCCUGCCUUCUGCCAUCUGAAGACACAGUAGGAAAAAGGACAUCUGUAAACCAGCAAACCAUUCAAAGAGAAUGGAUUUCAGUUUGACUCAAGGAGUUGCCUGGCUGUGAAAUGGACUACAGUAAUGAUAGUCACAGAAGAUGGUUCAAGAAGAGAUUGGACAAACCAACUGAAGGAGACAUCGUGAAGAAGACUUGAAUACCAGGUAGGCUCUAUAGUCAGCACAGAAUGUUCAGCACGGUCCAAGAAAAUCACUGUAUACUGGACCUUUAGGAUGGUGAACCGAGGAGCUGCGAGGCUGGGGUGCUUCCUGGAAGAAUGAGAGCUAAGCUCAAAGCCAGGCUUCUGCUCCUCGAUGCUACAUGUUCAAAUAAAAAAGUAUACCCCUGGCCU